GAUGAACGCUGGCGGCAUGCCUAAGACAUGCAAGUCGUACGAGGUGGCCCAUUGAAAGCGGAGUGCUUGCACAAAGCUGGAUUUGGAUUCCCACCUAGUGGCGGACGGGUGAGUAACACGUGGGUGACCUGCCUUUGAGAUGGGGAUAACAGUUGGAAACGACUGCUAAUACCGAAUAACAUAUGGAUUCGUUUCUAUAUUAAAAGGCGCCUUUAAAGCGCUGCUCAAGAUGGGCCUGCGGCGUAUUAGCUAGUUGGUGAGGUAAUGGCUUACCAAGGCGACGAUGCGUAGCCGAACUGAGAGGUUGAUCGGCCACAUUGGGGACUGAGACACGGCCCAGACUCCUACGGGAGCAGCAGUGGGGAAUAUUGCACAAUGGGGGAAACCCUGAUGCAGCAACGCCGCGUGAAGGAA
This 414-nucleotide ribosomal RNA is filed under the name uncultured bacterium. Its description in RNAcentral is "bacterial SSU rRNA". It matches the Rfam family "Bacterial small subunit ribosomal RNA", at positions 28 to 409 of the family's 1533-position model. The record is from RNAcentral.